AUGUUUCGAUGAGAACCAAAAUUUGUUUGAGGAAAGAACCAAAAUUGUUUUGGGGAGUGGGCCACCUCUAGGGCGGGACCUUAACAGAAAAGCCCCGACUAACUGAGGUGCCCACCAGGGGCGGGUAUUCGUAGGUGGCUAAGCGUUAUACCGAAUUUUGGGGCGGAAAAGCGCGCGUAGGCGGUUUUUUAAAUUCAGAUGUAAAAGUCCAGGGUUCAACCGGGGAAGGUCAUUGGAAACUGGGAACUUGAGUGCAGAAGAGGAGAGUGGAAUUCCAUGGGUAGCGGUGAAAUGCGCAGAGAUAUGGAGGAACACCAGUGGCGAAGGCGGCUCUCUGGUCUGUAACUGACGCUGAUGUGCGAAAGCGUGGGGAUCAAACAGGAUUAGAUACCCUGGUAGUCCACGCCGUAAACGAUGAGUGCUAAGUGUUAGGGGGUUUCCGCCCCUUAGUGCUGCAGCUAACGCAUUAAGCACUCCGCCUGGGGAGUACGACCGCAAGGUUGAAACUCAAAGGAAUUGACGGGGACCCGCACAAGCGGUGGAGCAUGUGGUUUAAUUCGAAGCAACGCGAAGAACCUUACCAAAUCUUGACAUCCUUUGAUCGCUCUAGAGAUAGAGUUUUCCCCUUCGGGGGACAAAGUGACAGGUGGUGCAUGGUUGUCGUCAGCUCGUGUCGUGAGAUGUUGGGUUAAGUCCCGCAACGAGCGCAACCCUUAAGCUUAGUUGCCAUCAUUAAGUUGGGCACUCUAGGUUGACUGCCGGUGACAAACCGGAGGAAGGUGGGGAUGACGUCAAAUCAUCAUGCCCCUUAUGAUUUGGGCUACACACGUGCUACAAUGGAUAAUACAAAGGGCAGCGAAACCGCGAGGUCAAGCAAAUCCCAUAAAAUUAUUCUCAGUUCGGAUUGUAGUCUGCAACUCGACUACAUGAAGCUGGAAUCGCUAGUAAUCGUAGAUCAGCAUGCUACGGUGAAUACGUUCCCGGGUCUUGUACACACCGCCCGUCACACCACGAGAGUUUGUAACACCCGAAGCCGGUGGAGUAACCUUUUAUUAGGAGCUAGCCGCGAAGGGAC
RNAcentral lists this ribosomal RNA (1075 nucleotides) under Staphylococcus aureus. RNAcentral describes it as "bacterial SSU rRNA". It matches the Rfam family "Bacterial small subunit ribosomal RNA", at positions 411 to 1465 of the family's 1533-position model. Lineage: Bacteria; Bacillati; Bacillota; Bacilli; Caryophanales; Staphylococcaceae. The record is from RNAcentral.